RNAcentral lists this ribosomal RNA (164 nucleotides) under Verticillium dahliae. Its description in RNAcentral is "partial 18S ribosomal RNA". It matches the Rfam family "Eukaryotic small subunit ribosomal RNA", at positions 1 to 166 of the family's 1831-position model. Lineage: Eukaryota; Fungi; Ascomycota; Sordariomycetes; Glomerellales; Plectosphaerellaceae. The record is from RNAcentral. RNAcentral also lists the same sequence under 1 other name.
ACCUGGUUGAUUCUGCCAGUAGUCAUAUGCUUGUCUCAAAGAUUAAGCCAUGCAUGUCUAAGUAUAAGCAAUUACAAAGCGAAACUGCGAAUGGCUCAUUAUAUAAGUUAUCGUUUAUUUGAUAGUACCUUACUACAUGGAUAACCGUGGUAAUUCUAGAGCAA